This 310-nucleotide ribosomal RNA is filed under the name uncultured bacterium. RNAcentral describes it as "bacterial SSU rRNA". It matches the Rfam family "Bacterial small subunit ribosomal RNA", at positions 28 to 333 of the family's 1533-position model. The record is from RNAcentral.
GACGAACGCUGGCGGCGUGCUUAACACAUGCAAGUCGAGCGGUAAGGCCCUUUCGGGGGUACGACGAGCGGCGAACGGGUGAGUAACACGUGGGUGACCUGCCCUUACGCUCUGGGAGUAAGCCUGGGAAACGUGGGUCGUAAUACCGGAUAUGACUCCAUGACGCAUGUUGUGGGGUGGAAAGCCUUGUGCGGCUAGGGAGUGGGCCGUGCGGCCUAUCAGCUUGUUGGUGGGGUGAGGCCUACCAAGGCGACGACGGGUAGCCGGCCUGAGAGGGCGACCGGCCACACUGGGACUGAGACACGGCCCA